Microcebus murinus (gray mouse lemur) is the source of this 432-nucleotide non-coding RNA. The record is from RefSeq and is a predicted model, not a curated record. Lineage: Eukaryota; Metazoa; Chordata; Mammalia; Primates; Cheirogaleidae.
UGGUGACACCUACCCUCCCCUGAGGAACAAGUGGAGUCCAAGGUGCCAUUUCAUGCUAUAUAUCUACCACCUUCCCAGGGCCCAUUUUUCGUUCAUGGAUGGAUAACAGCUUCACAAUAGUUACUUCCAGAGUCUUAUUUGCUCGAUGAGACACAAGAAUCCAGUUCUUGCAAGGAAAAAGCAAAUUAAAAAGUUAUUAAAGCAUGUAUCGCCACUUGACAAGCCCCUCUGGAUCCAUUUGAGCUUAUGACCAUGUUUUGCUGCUAACUGGGUUCAAUGGAGCAAGAACUUCUGGUUGAAGUACCUACUAGUAUGUAUUGUUGAGAGAGGAAGCCAGCAAAAACUGGUCAUUCUAUUUAAUUAUUUUUAAUUUAUGGUUUAAAAAAUGUAAGCUCUAGUCAAAAUUUCUAAUAACAGUCGCUAUCUAGCUUU